GACGAACGCUGGCGGCGUGCUUAACACAUGCAAGUCGAACGGCAAGGCACUGCUUUUGUGGGGUGCUCGAGUGGCGAACGGGUGAGUAACACGUGAGUAACCUGCCCUUGCCUUUGGGAUAACUUCAGGAAACUGGGGCUAAUUACGGCUAGGAGCUCCUGCUGCAUGGUGGGGGUUGGAAAGUUUCGGCGGUUGGGGAUGGAUUCGCGGGUUUUCAGCUUGUUGGUAGGGUAGUGGACUACAAAGGCUUUGACAGGUAGCCGGCCUGAGAUGGUGAUCGGCCACAUUGGGGCUGAGAUACGGCCCAGACUGCGACGGGAGGCAGCAGAGGGGAAUAAUGCACAAUGGGCGGAAGCCUGAGGCAGCAGCGCGGCGUGCGGAAUGACGGCCUUCGUGUUGUAAACCUCUUUCGCCUGUGACGAAGCGUGAGGGACGGUAAUGGUGAAAGAAGCACCGGCGAACUACGU
Molecule: ribosomal RNA, 467 nt
Filed under: uncultured bacterium
Lineage: Bacteria
Description: partial 16S ribosomal RNA
Rfam family: Bacterial small subunit ribosomal RNA
Source: RNAcentral